AGUGAACGCUGGCGGCAUGCCUAAUACAUGCAAGUCGAACGGCAGCACAGUAAGAGCUCGCCCUUACGGGUGGCGAGUGGCGGACGGGUGAGGAAUACAUCGGAAUCCACUAUGUCGUGGGGGACAACGUAGGGAAACUGAUGCUAAUACCGCAUACGACCUACGGGUGAAAGCAGGGGAUCUUCGCACCUUUCGCGUCUCAAUGAGCCGAUGUCGGAUUACCUAGUGGGCAGGGUAAAGGACCACCAAGCCGACGAUCCGUAGCUGGUCUGAGAGGAUGACCGGCCCCACUGGAACGGGGACACGGCCCGGACUCCUACGGGAGGCAGCGUAGGGGAAUAUUCGACAAUGGGCGCAAGCCUACUCCGGCCCGACCGGGGGGGUGAAAAAGGCCUUCGGUUUGUAAAGCCCUUUUGUUGGGAAAGAAAAGCAGCAGGUUAAUACCCCGCUGUUCUGACGGUACCCAAAAAAUAAGCACCGGCUAACUUCGUG
This 492-nucleotide ribosomal RNA is filed under the name uncultured bacterium. RNAcentral describes it as "partial 16S ribosomal RNA". It matches the Rfam family "Bacterial small subunit ribosomal RNA", at positions 29 to 507 of the family's 1533-position model. The record is from RNAcentral.